CCAUCAUCACCACCACCAUCACCAUCAUCACCGUCACCAUUACCACCACCAUCACCAUCACCACCACCAUCACCCCCACCCCCACCACCAUCACCACCGUCACCACCAUCACCACCAUCACCCCCAUCAUUACCACCAUCACCACCAUCACUAUUACCACCACCAGCAACAUCAGUCAUCACCACAGCCCACUGUUACUACCACCAUUACCACCACCACCACCAUCACCACCAUCAUUACCACCAACAUCACCACCGUCAUCAUCACUACCAUCACCGUCACCAUCAUUACCAUCACCACCAUUACAACCACUAUUAUCGCCACCAUCACCACCAACAAAAUCAAUACCAACCUCACCAUCACCACCAUUAUCAUCGUUACCAGCACCAUCAUUAUUACUUUGCAGAACCACAGACUGUCAGGGUAGGAAGAGUCC
Molecule: long non-coding RNA, 436 nt
Filed under: Homo sapiens (human)
Lineage: Eukaryota; Metazoa; Chordata; Mammalia; Primates; Hominidae
Description: HSALNT0317976
Source: RNAcentral